Molecule: long non-coding RNA, 470 nt
Organism: Anguilla rostrata (American eel)
Lineage: Eukaryota; Metazoa; Chordata; Actinopteri; Anguilliformes; Anguillidae
Exons: 4
Source: RefSeq, a predicted model, not a curated record
AAGGACUUUGUUCAUGAUCUGCAGUAAAAUUCGUACAUUUCAUUCUGCAACAUUGUAGCCCUAUUGUCGUUUUCUCCCAUUAUCCCGCCCUAAUUAGUGGUAAACCUGGCUGGCGUAAGCUGAGGUGGCUCCUGAAGGAAACAAUCUGGUCCAAAACAAGAUUGGGGGUGGCAUUCCUUCCUCAAACUGCAAGUCAGUGCUUGGUGAAGCUGGGGCUAUUAAACAGCCUGAAGCUGAAGAGAGUGGAAGGAAGUGAUGUCAUCAGACAGAAGUGAUGCACUCAGUGGUGCUAGUGGCACACAGCCCGCAGUCACACCUCAGGGCCACUGGGUCUCACAGCGCCCCCAGCAGGCAUCGGUGGUGAUGUGCAUACCCCCGCAGCCCGGUUUGCGAGCCAGGAAGGUGAACUCCCUCACAGCGCAGCCAAUGAAACGCCGCAGGUUGAUGUGAGCCUCCCCCGUCGCCGCGGG